CCUACGGGAGGCAGCAGUGGGGAAUAUUGCGCAAUGGGCGAAAGCCUGACGCAGCGACGCCGCGUGAGGGAUGAAGGUCUUCGGAUCGUAAACCUCUGUCAGCAGGGAAGAACGGUCACUGGGCUAAACAGCAGUGAAUUGACGGUACCUGCAAAGGAAGCACCGGCUAACUCCGGGCCAGCAGCCGCGGUAAUACGGAGGGUGCGAGCGUUAAGCGGAAUUACUGGGCGUAAAGCGCUCGUAGGCGGUAUGUCAAGUCACGGGUGAAAGCCCCGCGCUCAACGUUGGAACUGCCUUUGAAACUGGCAACCUGGAGUGUGUGAGAGGUUAGUGGAAUUCCAGGUGUAGGCGU
RNAcentral lists this ribosomal RNA (352 nucleotides) under uncultured bacterium. Its description in RNAcentral is "partial 16S ribosomal RNA". It matches the Rfam family "Bacterial small subunit ribosomal RNA", at positions 338 to 682 of the family's 1533-position model. The record is from RNAcentral.